Molecule: ribosomal RNA, 510 nt
Filed under: uncultured bacterium
Lineage: Bacteria
Description: partial 16S ribosomal RNA
Rfam family: Bacterial small subunit ribosomal RNA
Source: RNAcentral
GACGAACGCUGGCGGCGUGCUUAACACAUGCAAGUCGAACGAAGAGCGAUGGAAGCUUGCUUCUAUCAAUCUUAGUGGCGAACGGGUGAGUAACGCGUAAUCAACCUGCCCUUCAGAGGGGGACAACAGUUGGAAACGACUGCUAAUACCGCAUACGAUCCGACCUCGGCAUCGAGGAUGGAUGAAAGGUGGCCUCUAUUUAUAAGCUAUCACUGAAGGAGGGGAGUGCGUCUGAUUAGCUAGUUGGAGGGGUAACGACCCACCAAGGCAAUGAUCAGUAGCCGGUCUGAGAGGAUGAACGGCCACAUUGGGACUGAGACACGGCCCAGACUCCUACGGGAGGCAGCAGUGGGGAAUCUUCCGCAAUAGACGAAAGUCUGACGGAGCAACGCCGCGUGAGUGAUGACGGCCUUCGGGUUGUAAAGCUCGGUUAAUCGGGACGAAAGGUCUUCUUGCGAAUAGGUAGAAGAAUUGACGGUACCGGAAUAGAAAGCCACGGCUAACUACGUG